GAUGAACGCUGGCGGCGUGCCUAAUACAUGCAAGUCGAGCGAACGGACGAGAAGCUUGCUUCUCUGAUGUUAGCGGCGGACGGGUGAGUAACACGUGGAUAACCUACCUAUAAGACUGGGAUAACUUCGGGAAACCGGAGCUAAUACCGGAUAAUAUUUUGAACCGCAUGGUUCAAAAGUGAAAGACGGUCUUGCUGUCACUUAUAGAUGGAUCCGCGCUUCAUUAGCUAGUUGGUAAGGUAACGGCUUACCAAGGCAACGAUGCAUAGCCGACCUGAGAGGGGGAUCGGCCACACUGGAACUGAGACACGGACCAGACACCUACGGGAGGAAGCAGUAGGGAAUCUUCCGCAAAGGGCGAAAGACUGACGGAGCAACGGCGCGUGAGUGAUGAAGGUCUUCGGAUCGUAAAACUCUGUUAUUAGGGAAGAACAAAUGUGUAAGUAACUGUGCACAUAUUGACGGUACCUAAUAAGAAAGCAACGGCUAACUACGUG
RNAcentral lists this ribosomal RNA (497 nucleotides) under uncultured bacterium. Its description in RNAcentral is "partial 16S ribosomal RNA". It matches the Rfam family "Bacterial small subunit ribosomal RNA", at positions 28 to 507 of the family's 1533-position model. The record is from RNAcentral.